Molecule: ribosomal RNA, 253 nt
Filed under: uncultured bacterium
Lineage: Bacteria
Description: partial 16S ribosomal RNA
Rfam family: Bacterial small subunit ribosomal RNA
Source: RNAcentral
UACGUAGGGGGCAAGCGUUGUCCGGAAUCAUUGGGCGUAAAGCGCGUGUAGGCGGCCCGGUAAGUCCGCUGUGAAAGUCGGGGGCUCAACCCUCGAAUGCCGGUGGAUACUGUCGGGCUAGAGUGCGGGAGAGGCGAGUGGAAUUCCUGGUGUAGCGGUGAAAUGCGCAGAUAUCAGGAGGAACACCAAUUGCGAAGGCAGCUCGCUGGAACAUAACUGACGCUGAGACGCGAAAGCGUGGGGAGCAAACAGG